Molecule: non-coding RNA, 421 nt
Organism: Pangasianodon hypophthalmus (striped catfish)
Lineage: Eukaryota; Metazoa; Chordata; Actinopteri; Siluriformes; Pangasiidae
Source: the annotation of a RefSeq genome assembly
CACACACACACAGAGCACAACACAGAGACGGACAACAUGGUUACUGCUCUCAUUAUCACCAUACUAUUGUAUUUCACAGGUUCUGCUGUUUGUUCUGUAAUCCAGAAUCCUCCUGAUCUCAUAAAAAUUCAAGACGAGUUUGCUGAGAUCAAAUGUGCACACACCGUACAGAACUAUAAUCGAAUACUGUGGUACAAACACAGCCAGGACACAGGAUUUACACUCAUGGGGUACCUUUUAAAUGCUUCCCCAAAGCCAGAGGCAGAAUUUGAAACCAAAAUCAAGUUGAGUGGUGAUGGGAACAAGGAUGGCUCUUUGACCAUAAACAGUCUUUCAGUGAACGACAGUGCUGUGUAUUUCUGUGCAGCUUAUUACACAGUGCUGUAGAUCAGCUCACUUAAUUACAAAAACCUUCAUCUGA